AUUUGUUAAUUGUUAUAAAUUUAUCAAGUAUAAGAAAUUUUUUUUGAUAGAGCAGAAAAUUAUAAUUUCUUGGACACUAUUAAAUUCAUUUCAAAUGAAUUCUAAAUUUGUGAUUGAAUUGAACCAAAUACUAUGUAAAUGAAAGAUAACACACUAAUUCAGCCAACAUAUAAACAGAAUAAGUUAAGAAGACCAUGUUUGCAAAUCCAUUUAAUUUAAUGAGAUUCUUCGAAGUAAAAAUAAUCAUGAAAACACAUUAACAGAGUAUAGAAGUGGCAGACCUCUUGUUCAUGUCAACA
This 299-nucleotide unclassified non-coding RNA is filed under the name Hevea brasiliensis (rubber tree). Lineage: Eukaryota; Viridiplantae; Streptophyta; Magnoliopsida; Malpighiales; Euphorbiaceae. The record is from RNAcentral.